CCCCGAGGAGCGCUGCAACGGGGUCUGUCGACCGGCGCAAUGCCGGUGCGCAGGCACCUCGCCAGGCUCGGGUUACCGGGGUCGUAACAAACGGCGCUCGUUCU
Molecule: non-coding RNA, 104 nt
Filed under: uncultured Halofilum sp.
Lineage: Bacteria; Pseudomonadati; Pseudomonadota; Gammaproteobacteria; Chromatiales; Ectothiorhodospiraceae
Description: S-adenosyl-L-homocysteine riboswitch
Rfam family: SAH (S-adenosyl-L-homocysteine) riboswitch aptamer
Source: RNAcentral